Ornithorhynchus anatinus (platypus) is the source of this 138-nucleotide non-coding RNA. The record is from Rfam. Lineage: Eukaryota; Metazoa; Chordata; Mammalia; Monotremata; Ornithorhynchidae.
CCCCCCUCAGGGUUGCACCUGGAGAGUUUGCAGUAUUCUACCAGUCUCAACUACAGGAGGGAGAGUCAAGCACAGGCAUACCCAUUCCAUUCCUAGCUCAGCCAGUGGCUAGCGAGUGGAAGGCAAUCUGUUACCAGG